ACGGAAGGCAGCAGUGAGGAAUAUUGGUCAAUGGGCGGAAGCCUGAACCAGCCAAGUCGCGUGAAGGAAGACGGUAUUAUGUAUUGUAAACUUCUUUAGACGCAGAGAAAUAAGGGGCUCGCGAGCUCUGAUGCUAGUAUGCGUAGAAUAAGGAUCGGCUAACUCCGUGCCAGCAGCCGCGGUAAUACGGAGGAUCCGAGCGUUAUCCGGAUUUAUUGGGUUUAAAGGGUGCGCAGGCGGCGCUUUAAGUCAGUGGUCAAAUCGUGAGGCUCAACCUCAUCCCGCCAUUGAUACUGGAGCGCUUGAUUGCGGUUGAGGUAGGCGGAAUUCGUCGUGUAGCGGUGAAAUGCGUAGAUAUGACGAAGAACCCCGAUUGCGUAGGCAGCUUACCAAGCCGUAAAUGACGCUCAUGCACGAAAGUGCGGGGAUCGAACAGGAUUAGAUACCCUGGUA
RNAcentral lists this ribosomal RNA (453 nucleotides) under uncultured Porphyromonadaceae bacterium. RNAcentral describes it as "partial 16S ribosomal RNA". It matches the Rfam family "Bacterial small subunit ribosomal RNA", at positions 341 to 792 of the family's 1533-position model. The record is from RNAcentral. Lineage: Bacteria; Pseudomonadati; Bacteroidota; Bacteroidia; Bacteroidales; Porphyromonadaceae.